Molecule: ribosomal RNA, 443 nt
Filed under: uncultured bacterium
Lineage: Bacteria
Description: partial 16S ribosomal RNA
Rfam family: Bacterial small subunit ribosomal RNA
Source: RNAcentral
CCUACGGGAGGCAGCAGUGGGGAAUAUUGGGCAAUGGAGGCAACUCUGACCCAGCAAUGCCGCGUGAGUGAUGAAGGUAAUUUUAUUGUAAAGCUCUUUUCUUUGGAACGAAUAAAUGACGGUACCAAAGGAAUAAGCCCCGGCUAACUACGUGCCAGCAGCCGAGGUAAUACGGAGGGGGCAAGCGUUGUUCGGAAUGACUGGGCGUAAAGGGGGUGUAGGUGGUUUGAUAAGUUAGAUGUGUAAUACCCAGGGCUUAACGCGGGUGCUGCAUCUAAAACUGUUAGACUUGAGUACUGGAGAGGAUAGUGGAAUUCCUAGUGUAGCGGUGGAAUGCGUAGAUAUUAGGAGGAACAUCAGUGGCGAAGGCGACUAUCUGGACAGCAACUGACACUGAGGCACGAAAGCGUGGGGAGCAAACAGGAUUAGAUACCCGAGUAGUC